ACCCGUGGGCAAGGUAGGAAAGCUAGUUGAUCGAGGGAUAUGUUCUUGACUUUAGAAAUUUGAGUGGUCAAUCUCGAGGAAUCCAUAAGGGAUGUGAGGGAGACACUCGAGGUAGUUGAGGGAUGCACUGAUGAGCUAGACUCGAUGGGUGAGCAGCUCAGGGAAUUUUUGUUUCAGUCUCUUGGUUCAAAUGUGGAAGCAAUGCAAAGGUUGCUCAGUUCCACUACAAAUAAGUUGACAGUGAGGGAUGAUGUUGUCUCAAAAUGAUUCAAUUGAUGUGCAAGUAUACAUAAUCGUUGAC
This 301-nucleotide long non-coding RNA is filed under the name Gossypium barbadense (sea-island cotton). Its description in RNAcentral is "long non-coding RNA (GBAR_LNC017869)". Lineage: Eukaryota; Viridiplantae; Streptophyta; Magnoliopsida; Malvales; Malvaceae. The record is from RNAcentral.